RNAcentral lists this ribosomal RNA (529 nucleotides) under uncultured bacterium. RNAcentral's name for it is "bacterial SSU rRNA". It matches the Rfam family "Bacterial small subunit ribosomal RNA", at positions 777 to 1304 of the family's 1533-position model. The record is from RNAcentral.
AAUAGAUACCCUGGUAGUCCACGCCGUAAACGAUGAGUGCUAAGUGUUAGAGGGUUUCCGCCCUUUAGUGCUGCAGCUAACGCAUUAAGCACUCCGCCUGGGGAGUACGGUCGCAAGACUGAAACUCAAAGGAAUUGACGGGGGCCCGCACAAGCGGUGGAGCAUGUGGUUUAAUUCGAAGCAACGCGAAGAACCUUACCAGGUCUUGACAUCCUCUGACAACUCUAGAGAUAGAGCGUUCCCCUUCGGGGGACAGAGUGACAGGUGGUGCAUGGUUGUCGUCAGCUCGUGUCGUGAGAUGUUGGGUUAAGUCCCGCAACGAGCGCAACCCUUGAUCUUAGUUGCCAGCAUUAAGUUGGGCACUCUAAGGUGACUGCCGGUGACAAACCGGAGGAAGGUGGGGAUGACGUCAAAUCAUCAUGCCCCUUAUGACCUGGGCUACACACGUGCUACAAUGGAUGGUACAAAGGGCUGCAAGACCGCGAGGUCAAGCCAAUCCCAUAAAACCAUUCUCAGUUCGGAUUGUAGG